Molecule: long non-coding RNA, 457 nt
Organism: Oreochromis niloticus (Nile tilapia)
Lineage: Eukaryota; Metazoa; Chordata; Actinopteri; Cichliformes; Cichlidae
Exons: 3
Source: RefSeq, a predicted model, not a curated record
GGGGGGAAUGUGAAGGUUGCACAUUUCAUGGUGCAGACAAUGGGGGAGAACAGGAACUCUCACAUUACAGGCAGAAGUGUUCACAACCAGCGCAUUGAGCACCUGUGGAGGGAUGUAUAUGAAAACAUCCUUGACCUUUUGUACACAAUCUUCACCCAGCUGGAGAUUCAAGGACUGCUCAACCCUGGUGAAGAAAUUGACUUGUUUGCACUGCACAGAUGCUUUUUGCAUCACAUUCAACAUCAUCUUCAGUCAUUCUAGGAAGCAUGGAAUCAGCACGGACUCAGAACAGCAAACAACCAUUCACCCCUGCAACUCUGGUUGCUGCACAGAAAAGAGGGACAAGAUUUGUCACAGGUUGAUGAGGAUUAUGGUGUGGACUGGACAGAACCACAUAAUCAUCGCCCAUCAAAUGAGAUCACCAUUCCUGAGAUUCAGCUCCCACGUGCACUGAAUG